UCUGGGAAACUGCCUGAUGGAGGGGGAUAACUACUGGAAACGGUGGCUAAUACCGCAUAACGUCGCAAGACCAAAGAGGGGGACCUUCGGGCCUCUUGCCAUCAGAUGUGCCCAGAUGGGAUUAGCUAGUUGGUGAGGUAACGGCUCACCAAGGCGACGAUCCCUAGCUGGUCUGAGAGGAUGACCAGCCACACUGGAACUGAGACACGGUCCAGACUCCUACGGGAGGCAGCAGUGGGGAAUAUUGCACAAUGGGCGCAAGCCUGAUGCAGCCAUGCCGCGUGUAUGAAGAAGGCCUUCGGGUUGUAAAGUACUUUCAGCGGGGAGGAAGGUGUUGUGGUUAAUAACCGCAGCAAUUGACGUUACCCGCAGAAGAAGCACCGGCUAACUCCGUGCCAGCAGCCGCGGUAAUACGGAGGGUGCAAGCGUUAAUCGGAAUUACUGGGCGUAAAGCGCACGCAG
This 462-nucleotide ribosomal RNA is filed under the name Salmonella enterica subsp. enterica serovar Anatum. RNAcentral's name for it is "bacterial SSU rRNA". It matches the Rfam family "Bacterial small subunit ribosomal RNA", at positions 116 to 574 of the family's 1533-position model. Lineage: Bacteria; Pseudomonadati; Pseudomonadota; Gammaproteobacteria; Enterobacterales; Enterobacteriaceae. The record is from RNAcentral.